GAUGAACGCUGGCGGCGUGCCUAAUACAUGCAAGUCGAGCGAACAGACGAGGAGCUUGCUCCUCUGACGUUAGCGGCGGACGGGUGAGUAACACGUGGAUAACCUACCUAUAAGACUGGGAUAACUUCGGGAAACCGGAGCUAAUACCGGAUAAUAUAUUGAACCGCAUGGUUCAAUAGUGAAAGACGGUUUUGCUGUCACUUAUAGAUGGAUCCGCGCCGCAUUAGCUAGUUGGUAAGGUAACGGCUUACCAAGGCAACGAUGCGUAUCCGACCUGAGAGGGUGAUCGGCCACACUGGAACUGAGACACGGUCCAGACUCCUACGGGAGGCAGCAGUAGGGAAUCUUCCGCAAAGGGCGAAAGCUUGACGGAGCAACGCCGCGUGAGUGAUGAAGGUCUUCGGAUCGUAAAACUCUGUUAUUAGGGAAGAACAAAUGUGUAAGUAACUAUGCACGUCUUGACGGUACCUAAUCAGAAAGCCACGGCUAACUACGUG
This 497-nucleotide ribosomal RNA is filed under the name uncultured bacterium. Its description in RNAcentral is "partial 16S ribosomal RNA". It matches the Rfam family "Bacterial small subunit ribosomal RNA", at positions 28 to 507 of the family's 1533-position model. The record is from RNAcentral.